RNAcentral lists this ribosomal RNA (254 nucleotides) under uncultured bacterium. Its description in RNAcentral is "partial 16S ribosomal RNA". It matches the Rfam family "Bacterial small subunit ribosomal RNA", at positions 524 to 776 of the family's 1533-position model. The record is from RNAcentral.
UACGUAGGGCGCAAGCGUUGUCCGGAAUUAUUGGGCGUAAAGGGCUCGUAGGCGGCUCAGUAAGUCGGGUGUGAAACCUCCAGGCUCAACCUGGAGACGCCACUCGAUACUGCUGUGGCUAGAGUCCGGUAGGGGAGCAUGGAAUUCCUGGUGUAGCGGUGAAAUGCGCAGAUAUCAGGAGGAACACCAGUGGCGAAGGCGGUGCUCUGGGCCGGAACUGACGCUGAUGAGCGAAAGCGUGGGGAGCAAACAGG